This 290-nucleotide small RNA is filed under the name Pseudobacteroides cellulosolvens ATCC 35603 = DSM 2933. Its description in RNAcentral is "Bacteroides cellulosolvens ATCC 35603 5' ureB small RNA". It matches the Rfam family "5' ureB small RNA". Lineage: Bacteria; Bacillati; Bacillota; Clostridia; Eubacteriales; Oscillospiraceae. The record is from Rfam by way of RNAcentral.
CAGUUUCAAUCUGCUGGGGACAUAUAAAAUGUAUGUGUGUGUCAAUGCCACCUGGUGUUACAAUAAGUCCUUCACCGGCAAUAACUUCAGUGGAGGCACCAAUUAUCAGAUCUUGUGAAACGCCAUUCAUAACACCGGGAUUUCCGGAUUUCCCAAUCCCUACUAUUUUACCAUCCCUGAUUCCGAUGUCUCCCUUAACAAUUCCCCACGAGUCAAGAACUAUGGCAUUGGUGAUAACCAAAUCCAAAACCUUCUCAUCCCUUGCAGCUGAGGGUGAUUGACCCAUUCCG